AUUAAAACAAAUUUAUCUUUUUCUUUUUUAAGCCACCGGGGGCUUCGACCCCACCUUAUACCCAUUGACGAAACUCUCGUUAUCUGCUUGCUGCUUGUUCAAAUAACAUAUUCCUUUACAAAAUGGGCACAUGUCAAAAACGGCAGGCCGGCGAUCGGGCUUCUUUUUGUUCGAUGAAUCUGCAUCAACUGUCACACGUGGGUCUACCGUAUAGAGUAUUUUUUGUAUGUUCAUUUAAUAAUAAAUAAAAUAAAAUAAAAUUUAAUGCAAUUAUACCCAAAACGUGGUGUCAGAAAAAUUCUAGAGUCGUGUCACCGUGACGAGGCGGCUGGGCCUUCUUGUCCAGCGUCAAAAAAGUUCAACUUUGAAAGCGAACAUUCGAGUUGAAACUCCCAACAAUAGGUAUGCAUUGAUAAGAAAUAUACACUUUUUUUUUUUAUGUAUAUAAAAUGUGCGUAAAGUGAGAAUAUAUAUAUAUAUAUAAAAUAAAUAAUAAGAAUGAUAUUAUUUAUACAUAAAUAUACACAAAAGAUUGCAUGUGUCUUUGAAGAUAGGAAAUGUUUCACCAAAUUAAAAAAUCAACUCAUUUAGUUCAUUGGUUUUGUAUUUAUGUAGAAAUGCCCUCAUUCUAUAUGUAAGUGCAAUUUUUUCUGCAAAUAUGUGUGUAUAGAGGAUUACUGAGGAUUACUCAAAGGGUAAAUUUCAAUUGACCACUUACUUCUAUGAGAAUCUUUAAAUUAUUUCUAAAAAGUGUGAAAACAUCAAAUUUACUGUUAAGAAAAAAUUUUUUUUAAAAAAAAUCAUCAACAUACCCUCCAUUUGCUAUCAUCUUCUAAAUGAAAUUGGGAGUAAAUUAAAAUUUUCACACUUUCAAAGGACAAUUUGAAGAUUUUCAUUUUAUCUAGGAAAUGUACUGAAGUUUACUCAUACUCAAAUAAUAAUAAGAGUGUAGCUAUUUAUACUCUAAACAUUACUUCAAACACUUUAAUUUUUAUUAUAAAAAUACCCAUCAUAUGAAUUAUUAUCAAGGAUAAUUUAUUAUAAGUAAUUAUUACAUAGUUACUUUGAACACACAUAUUGCAUACUCAUUAUUCAAUGUACAUAAUUCUCAUGCUUUAACUUUUUUUUUCCAGCAUCUUCAAUACUUAGAUGAAUAAUGAUGAAAUCAAUAUAUUUAUUUUUUAUUUUUGCACUCAUUAUUUAUGGAAUAUUUCUUAU
This 1218-nucleotide long non-coding RNA is filed under the name Citrus x clementina. Its description in RNAcentral is "Citrus clementina (C. clementina) long non-coding RNA (CCLE_LNC001611)". Lineage: Eukaryota; Viridiplantae; Streptophyta; Magnoliopsida; Sapindales; Rutaceae. The record is from RNAcentral.